AUCUGGUGGUGGCACUCCCUUCGAUAACGGGCGGUGUGAGCGUUAGUGCGCAGAACAAACAAAAAAGGCCCGUAAUGUUACGGGCCUUUUUUU
Alteromonas sp. is the source of this 93-nucleotide regulatory RNA element. It matches the Rfam family "Tryptophan operon leader". From Rfam's summary of the family: At least 6 amino acid operons are known to be regulated by attenuation. In each a leader sequence of 150-200 bp is found upstream of the first gene in the operon. Lineage: Bacteria; Pseudomonadati; Pseudomonadota; Gammaproteobacteria; Alteromonadales; Alteromonadaceae. The record is from Rfam.